AAUAAAGGUAAGCUAAGUAUAAAGCUAUUAGAUUCAUAAUUUAAAAAUGUAUGUUACUCUUUUUUU
RNAcentral lists this transfer RNA (66 nucleotides) under Lophogaster typicus. RNAcentral describes it as "tRNA-Met". Lineage: Eukaryota; Metazoa; Arthropoda; Malacostraca; Lophogastrida; Lophogastridae. The record is from RNAcentral.